CGAUGACGGCCGCGGCAAAGCCUAGCGAGCAGCCGCGAACCGAGUCUUGCGUGGCGUCCGGUAACGGCCGUUGCGAAGCGUAGACAGAGAGGUUGCAGGCCGGAACGACAGUGAACGGGAACAUAGCCCCGAAAUCGAUCGUGAUCGGAGUAGCCGACCCUAUCCCGCAAAGGGGAAGGCGGAAUCGCAGCCCGCGCUAUAGCGAGCGGCCUGAGAUGCUCCCGGGGUUCGUACCG
RNAcentral lists this non-coding RNA (236 nucleotides) under Bradyrhizobium erythrophlei. Lineage: Bacteria; Pseudomonadati; Pseudomonadota; Alphaproteobacteria; Hyphomicrobiales; Nitrobacteraceae. The record is from RNAcentral.